GGGUUAUUAGCUCAGUUGGUAGAGCAGCUGACUCUUAAUCAGCGGGUCGGGGGUUCGAACCCUCAUAACCCA
Listeria floridensis FSL S10-1187 is the source of this 72-nucleotide non-coding RNA. NCBI's taxonomy places the organism in Bacteria, Bacillati, Bacillota, Bacilli, Caryophanales, Listeriaceae. The record is from Rfam.